Molecule: non-coding RNA, 89 nt
Organism: Picea glauca (white spruce)
Lineage: Eukaryota; Viridiplantae; Streptophyta; Pinopsida; Pinales; Pinaceae
Source: Rfam
GUUGCCGUGAUGAGAAGCUAACUGAUGAGAAACCCUCUUCGGAUGGGAUUAAAAAGAUUUUCAAUAGUUACGCUUGGCUUCUGAGCACC